RNAcentral lists this ribosomal RNA (271 nucleotides) under uncultured bacterium. Its description in RNAcentral is "partial 16S ribosomal RNA". The record is from RNAcentral.
CUGCUGCCUUCCGUAGGAGUCUGGUCCGUGUCUCAGUACCAGUGUGGGGGACCUUCCUCUCAGAACCCCUACGCAUCGUCGCCUUGGUGGGCCGUUACCCCGCCAACAAGCUAAUGCGCCGCAUGCCCAUCCUCCGCCGGAAUCACUUCCUUUUAACACCAGUGGGAUGCCCCACUGGUGUACCACGCGGUAUUAGUCCGGAUUUCUCCGGGUUAUCCCCCUGCGGAGGGCAGGUUGCAUACGUGUUACUCACCCGUGCGCCGGUCGCCGG